Long non-coding RNA from Equus asinus (donkey), 3959 nucleotides. The record is from Ensembl. Lineage: Eukaryota; Metazoa; Chordata; Mammalia; Perissodactyla; Equidae.
AGAGAGAGAGAGAGAGAGAGAGAGAGAGAGAGAGAGAGAGAGAGAGAAACCCCGAUUCCCGAAGGCGAUUGGUCGCGGGAGGAGGGGCGGGCCGGAGGAGCGAGUCCCGCCGCGGGGCCUGCAGGAAUCGCUGGCUCCGGCUGCCACCUAGCGGACGGGAGCCGCGCCUGGGAGGCGCACAGCCGGGUCCCUCCUCCCCUCCCUGCAGGCAGCCUGUGCCUUUUCUCCAAACGGAGACAGCACUUUGAAAAUUCUUUCAAUGGAUUUUUUUCCUUGAAAGAUCGUACUGGGGGAAAAUGAUACUUCUAUUAGUUACAUAUUCUCCAAUCGCACACUCGCACCCCCCUCGUUUUGAGAUCGCUCCCCUAGGCAGGCUCAGGCGGGCGCGGAGCGGCGCGGAGUGACAAAGCCGCCACCGCCGCCGCCGGGGGUGGGAGCCACGCUCGCCCGCCCGCCCCUCGACUCGGGAGAGCGUAAAAGUUUGUCUCAGCUCCAGCAUCCCCAGCCUCAACAUGCCCUCAGGUAAAGGUGGGAGUAAAUGGCCACGCUGUAUUGACAGAGGUAGGGUUUGUUUUUUAAUACUACUCCUUCUCACUUUAAAUUUCACCAGGGAGGGGUUUGGGAAGCGCUGCGUGUUUGGGGUGCGUUUUGCGCUUCCCGGUCUCUCCAGCCUGCAAGUCGGGAGUCGGCGACCGCUUAGUGACGAGCGACGAUUUUAAAGAGAAUAAAGGCUUUUCCGUGCCUGCCCCACAGCCCCUCCAGCUCGAAUAAUGGAGAGGCAGUCAAUGCACUCUGCAAGCGGCGGCCCAUUGUACGCAGCUGAUGGAGAGGAAGCGACUGGGGCCGGCAGGGGCUCCUUGCUCUCACCCCUCUCCCCAAAUAAACGCGCUCACCUCUCCUGGUCAGUUAAAAGGUGAAACGAACAUGAUUAAAAGACCAAAAAAAAAAAAAAAAAAAAGGAAAAGAACAAGAACAAGCUUUCUAUAUACAAAUUCUAAAUUUUACUCCCAAUACGGUACGGAGGCAGGCAGUCGAGGGCAGAGGAAGCAGGCAGAGAGAGGGAGACAGGGAGAAGGAAAGAGAACGUGGAAAGAGACGGAGCGAGUGGAAGAGGAGGCGAGAGCGAGCGCCAGGGAACCGGAGGCCCGCUGGACGCCCGGUCCGCGGGCCCAGCCACCCUCGGACCCUGGACCGUGAGUCAUGGGCACCAGAAGCGAGAUUCGGCCGAGUCCUGCCCCACCAGGUGGCAGUGGACCUACAUCACAGGUUGUAGCAAAUGUUCUCAACAUUUCUAUUGAAAUCUUUAUCUCUGCUUGCAAGAGGAGCCCCAGAGCCUCAUCCCUGUGGGAGUGACUGUCCUCUGAUAUAAGCGUUGUUCACCAGGGAGCUUUGGCAAGAGAACUGGCUAGAUCAGCAAGUCCAUCUCCACUGUGAAAAAGCAACUUGAAGCUCAUCUCUAUUGACGGGAAACUGGCCCUGAGUUUGCAGCAGAGUGUUAUGCAGCACCUCUCACUUCAUCCCUCAGAGAGCAACCUGAAUGAAUUUCACUUUUUAGUGGGUAUUGGAGGUUUUGCCUGAAGCCAAGGAAAAGCCCUAGAUCAGGACAGCAGAGUUUCCUCAGACCAUGAUUUACUGCCCAUGCAUCCUGCUCAGAGCCUGCUCAGCAGCACACGGUGGUGGUUUGACAUCUGGCAUUCACAACUCCUGGGAGACUGGCAUCCUCAUAGACCUGCUCUGAAAGCAUCCCUGCUGUGCUCCUUCUGUCUAAGCGUGAGCACAUCACAGGAAAUGAGCAAGGAAAGACCCAGCUUUUCUGGAAGGAAUCAAGAACCCCUCACCCAGCUGGAAACCCGGAUUUUGGUAUCCAGCUUCAGGAAAUUUGGCCAUUUGUGUAGAUGCUGUUGUCUUGUGGCACCUUAGUCCCUUUCUCCUUUAAACUCCCCACAUGCUGUCCAUAGCCUCUGUUCUGAGUCAUCCAGCUGAGGAAAAUUGCUUCAGGACCUCUAAAUGUGAAAUAAGGGUUGUCUUUCACUGUAGAUUCCUUAGCGCAGCUGGAUUUAGUUAUUUACAGUUGUAAAUUUGGCACUGUAUUUACUGAGGUAGGGGGCUCAGUUUAAAAUAAUUGAAGCAAUCUAAAGCUAAACCUAUAAAUAAUUACAUAUAUUCAUUUCCACUUAUUUUACUAUGAAGAUAAAAAUAUUAAAAUGAUUAAAGAAAUAAGUACAUAACAAGUAAGUUAAGGCACCAAAAUAAAAGUAAGAGGAAAGCCUUUUCACUCUUUCCUUGCUAGUCUUCACAAUUCCGUUUUUUUGCUCCAGCCUAAUGAAUUCACGCACUCUGUCAUCUUACUACUACAAAUAUCAGCUCAGCCCCUGUUUCAGAUCCACUUCAAGGAAACAGACUUGAAAACUCUCCCCCACAGUUUGUCUGAACUGGCUGCCAUUCUGCAGCACACACUGGAUCCAAUUGCUGGAGUGGGGGAGCCCGAGAGGUGAGCGAGCAAGCCAGAGCCAACACUUAGCUGAGUGAGUCAGAUGGACCUGUGUGAAAGGUUGUUGGUGAGCCAGGAAUUAAUGGACAAAAUAGAGGGUCGUUGCUAAUUUUGAUUUUGGGGAAAUCUGAAGGGUUCUUUUGCAUGCCAGCGUAUUUGAAUAUUUGGCAAACAGCUGGCUGGGCUCUGGGAGAGCGUCUCUUGAUUCUCCUCGUCAGAUGUUCAAAGAUAAAAUGAGGCAGCCGGCACGCCAGCACAUAGCUCAUAGCCUUGCAGUCAGUUUUGAAUUUAGAUUUGAAUUGUGAUAUCAAUGUCAUGGUGGCACAUGCUUUGAGAAAGUACUUACAGAGAAUAAUUGAAAGAUUCAGUGUGAAGCUUCUGAAAGCUGUAAUUUAAAGUUCCAGAAGCCUCCAUAUUACUCUCACCAUUAAAAUUUAAAGUGACAGAAGCCCAAUUAUGUAUGGUUAUUUUCUUAAAUAAAAUCAUAUUUCUACCCCAAGUGAAAGAUUCAUUGCUGCCCACUAAUCUCUGUCGGGAGAACCAAUCUCAGUCACGUCCAGUGUCAGCAGCGAAGAUAGUUGCCUUUAUCCUGGGGACAAUGAAGCGACAUCGGGGAAAGCAGAGCUGGAAGGCCUCUUGGAGGAGCCGGACUUGCAGGAGGCUGAUUUGCAUGAUAAUCACCAUUAUGGAUCCUCUCUGGUGCCAGCCUCCACACUUAACCCAAUGCAGUAUGACUUUACCAGCUGCUGAGCAGUCUGAGAAGGGGCUGUAGCACACAUUUUGCAAAAUCUGAAUGUUGUCAAAAACUGCUAGUUAAGAGGGGGCAGCUGGUUGUAAAGCUAAGCCACACGGAGGAAUGGAGACUUGGAACAUAACUUUAAGACCUGAUCAAGGAUAUAACUUUGGAGACUAUUGAAAGAUAUGAAGCUUUUCCCUCUUUUUUUUUUAACUCAAGAUAAUCUGUUUACCAGAACUUCUGUGACCGUUGAAACCAUGCAUGAAAAUAGAUCAGUGGAAGUACAGAAACAUUUCCAGUGCAGAAACUUUAGUCUCUAUUAGUUAAAAGUAUGGAGCUGGGUUUUUAGAUUAUGAAUCUUUCCACUAAUUUCUUUGGUCUGUUUGAUUUUACUUGUACUGCAUUGUGAUUUGGACAAUAUGGUGUAAUGGUAGCCAGAAUUGCAAGGAAAAAUUGCACAGGGCCAGUCAAGCUUAAACUACUGUUGUUUAUGAAAAACUUUAUUCCUUAGGGUUUCCAGAGCCAAAGGGGCAUGUGAAUCAACUAAUAUUAUGAUGCACGAUGUUGAGUGAUAGAGUAUAGAUGCAUCAAUACUAAUCUAAGCAAUGUCUUAUAAAUAAUAAAUCACAUAAUUUCUCAAAAGUUUCACAGUAUGAUAAAACAUUUACAAGUAGGUCUUGGUUUUGCUGACUUUUGUCAUGACUUUAGCACAGCCAGCCCUGUGGCAGUUCG